RNAcentral lists this ribosomal RNA (484 nucleotides) under uncultured bacterium. RNAcentral describes it as "partial 16S ribosomal RNA". It matches the Rfam family "Bacterial small subunit ribosomal RNA", at positions 30 to 507 of the family's 1533-position model. The record is from RNAcentral.
AUUGAACGCUGGCGGCAGGCCUAACACAUGCAAGUCGAGCGGAUGAAGGGAGCUUGCCCCUGGAUUCAGAGGCGGACGGGUGAGUAAUGCCUAGGAAUCUGCCUGGUAGUGGGGGAUAACCUCCGGAAACGGGCGCUAAUACCGCAUACGUCCUGAGGGAGAAAGUGGGGGAUCUUCGGACCUCACGCUAUCAGAUGAGCCUAGGUCGGAUUAGCUAGUUGGUGGGGUAAAGGCCUACCAAGGCGACGAUCCGUAACUGGUCUGAGAGGAUGAUCAGUCACACUGGAACUGAGACACGGUCCAGACUCCUACGGGAGGCAGCAGUGGGGAAUAUUGGACAAUGGGCGAAAGCCUGAUCCAGCCAUGCCGCGUGUGUGAAGAAGGUCUUCGGAUUGUAAAGCACUUUAAGUUGGGAGGAAGGGCAGUAAGUUAAUACCUUGCUGUUUUGACGUUACCAACAGAAUAAGCACCGGCUAACUUCGUG